Paramuricea clavata is the source of this 864-nucleotide non-coding RNA. The record is from the annotation of a GenBank genome assembly. NCBI's taxonomy places the organism in Eukaryota, Metazoa, Cnidaria, Anthozoa, Malacalcyonacea, Plexauridae.
CCGGAAUUCUCUCUUAUCAUGGAUACAAUUUGCAGUUCCUCAAGAUGUCUGAUAUACUCAAGCAUGUGCUUCUCCUCAACAAAACUACCGAUCUGCUGCUUCUUUCACCUCACUAGCACCAGAUGAAAUGGCACCGUCUUUAAAACAUUUUAAAUUGGCUCUAGGGGUGAAAUUAUCAACAGGUUGUUGUUGUCCAUCAUUCAGCGUAUUCGGAGUCUUGAACACGUUCAUGUAGUGGCCAGGAUUUCCUGGAUCAGGGUAAUGUGUUGGAACCUUACAGUAUGUCGCCCCCACCCAAGUGUCUCCCGGCAUCUGUUGCAAAUGUCUUUGUAUGCCUGUCAAAAAUGCAUGCAAAAGUGCCAUUAUGCUUCAAUUUCUUUAAUUUCCAUCCCGUUUGUACGAAAUAUCCCAUAAACAUAGAACACAUCAUUCUUGCAAAUCGUAUAUGCUUUUUUGUUUUUGGAACUGCUACUUUUUGGCGCGUAAGUUACUUCACAAACCUGGCGCCAAAAGGCGUCAGAGGAUUAUACGUAUUGGCACUCUCAUACUAAGUUUUGGGAGAAAAGGGGGGUCUGGGGGUCCUCCCCCAGAAAAUUUUUACAUUUUUGAAGCUCUAGGACUGAAUUGCUGGCGUUUUCUAAAGCAAAUUUCGCAAACAAAUUACAUGUAAAUUGACUGUAUUUUACAAAAAUGGUUAUCAUUUCACAAAAAUAAUUACUUUAUUACGCAAAUUUUACCUGAAAAUGUAAAAAUUUUAACUUUAAUUUACUGGGGUCAAACCUUUGAAAAGUUUAGAGCCCCCCCUUCAGUAUAUCAAGAACUUUCAGAGCCCCCCCUUUAAUGCCAGAAAAUAUUUCGGAGCCC